Phoenix dactylifera (date palm) is the source of this 2445-nucleotide long non-coding RNA. RefSeq lists it as uncharacterized. Lineage: Eukaryota; Viridiplantae; Streptophyta; Magnoliopsida; Arecales; Arecaceae. The record is from RefSeq and is a predicted model, not a curated record.
GGAGUGGUCCAAGAGAGAGUUCUGAGAGAGCUAUACGCUUCAUUCCACCCCUCUGCUCCUCUCUUUAAGUGUUUAACCGUAUUUUUUUUGACCUCAUAUGAUUUUUUGUGUCACAUUGUAGGUAAAUGCCAUCUUUUUACUCCCAUAUUUUUUUUACAGCAUAAAUGGACAUUAGCACAGCUUUCACAUGAUGUACAUGUGUUAGAAGUCUCCAGCUCCUUAUAUAAGAAUGGAGAUUGGAGAACAUGAGGAGCGGGACAGUAGUGGAGUGGCCUCCUUCCAAGUCCAUGUCAUGCCUUUCCACAGCUUUCUUGAACUUCUCUUGAGCUUUCCUCACCAGAGAGAAAGAGGAGGACAAGAAGAGGGUCAAGAAAGCUGUGGGAAGUGAUGGCAGAUCAGGACUUCUGUGCAUUUCGGUGCUCUCUUAAGCAGUUCCAUCUGAGGAAAUUAAGUAGCUGUCUCAUAUCUUUGGAAGCUAGGAAACCUUGAUGGGGACAUUUCAGGGAAAUUAAAAAGCUCAUCACGAGAAGAUUGUAGAUAUGGCUUGCAAACAAAAUGGAGCCUAAGAGCCAACUAAUGCUUUAAUGUUCUUUUUGAGCAUAAUCAGGUCUUCAUUUUUUUAACUUGAUAUUUUCUUUUUCUUCUGUUUUUUUUUCAUUAAACAAUCAAAUUGCCUUACACUUUUUUUAUGUUACUAUUGUUUUUCAAAGAGAAUAAUUACACGCACGCUCACACAUACACAAACUUUCUUUCAUAAUGCUCAAACUAGGUUUUAGCAUGGAUCUACGCGUGUGAGCUUCUUAAUAGGCUGAGAUUGAGAUGCAUAUCUUAUAAUUCAAUUGAGCUUUCUUUCACACAACUAUACUCUUGUAUCUUCCUUGCAUCCAAGGGGAUACAAUCUUUAAUUAAGAAAAGGAAAGAAGAGCGACGUUCUGAAGGCUUGGGAUUUGGGAUUGGCCAAUUCCAAAUCUCAUGACUUCACCUUUAUUCACAAGCAAAGAGAGAAGGCAGCUUAUCUCACAUACAUUUCACCUUUUUCUUUUAGAAAGCUUUGUCUCCAUUUUCUCAUGACAGGUGCUGGAAGUCCAGAAGGAGUUAAAUUUCUUUAAUUGCUUCAAGGUUAAUACUGGUUAAAGAUGGCUGUGGAUCAACCUUGGAAUCAGAGGUUCCUGCCAUUUUAACCUACCAAUGCAAGGAUGCCUUUUUAUCUUGAAAAGGAUUAAAUGUUCCAUAAGAGCUGGUCCGGUUCAGUCAACAUUGGUCCGGUUCAUUCAAUUGGCUGUGAAAUCAGGUAUUGGGCCUGUGUGUGUGCAUGUGCGAGUGUUGUAGAGAGAGGAGUGGGUUGGAGGGAUUUGGUUUGGCUUGGUGUGAUACAUGAACACAAUCCAUAAGAACAUGUUGUAGCUCGUUUUAGCAUGUAACCAUGCAUAGAAAUCUAAGAACUUAAGAGUUAUCGACAAUGCAAAUCCAAGUGCUGCCACAAAAAAAAAGGUGAAAAUUGACUUGGCUAGCCAACUGCAGAACCAUGAUGAUAACUUCCUUAGCUUUUAAUCAAAUAUCAAGUAGGGGAAAAAUGUUAUAAUCAUUAACAUAUACCACUUUAAUUACCAAGAAACAAAAACAAGGAAGAAAAACAUAAAUUGAACAUUUUUUAACAUAAAUUAGACAUUUUUAAAGUAGAGGAUAGAAGAUCAUUUAAUUGUGUGAGAGAGAGAGAGAGAGAGAGAGAGACCAACAAAACUAUAUAGUGCAGACUCUUUAGGGAGUUAAAUUGGUCUUGAAAAAUAUUGCUUGACCAUAUUAUAAUUGGAUAUUUUCCUCAAAAAAUUGUAAAAUUAAUUGGAUGCAAUUUGUAUUGCAAAUGAUGAUUUAAAUUAUUUUUAUUAUGAUUGCUACAUAAUAUAUAGAUGGUUUAUCCUUGUAAAAUUGGACGCAAUUUGCAAAUGAUUUAACUUGUUUUUGUUAUGAUUAUUGAAUCAUAUAUGGUGCAUAGUAUCGCCCUUGCAUCCUAUUUGAGCAUAGCAUACAAUUUUCUAUUUAUGCAUGAUGUUGGCCCCUCCACAUGGUUUUGUCAUAUUGCUAGGUGUAACGCACAUGGGAGGCUGCAAUUGCAGUUCUCUACAAUUUAAACAUGUCCCCUACUAGUUAUUAAGUUCGGUACUCUAUGAUCAAAAGCUCUUAUCUUUUCUUGACCAACGGUCUCUAGCAUAAUCUCAAUUGUUAAGAAGCUUGAGAAGAGGAACAUGAUAGCAUUUCAGUUGCGUAAGCUAUAGAGUACAAGUUUGUGAAAGAUAUAUGGAGAAAAUUUUCAACAUAAGCUCAAGGUAUACUUUCUCCCCUCUUCUUUCUUACUUCUAUAUAUAGAUUGGAGGAAAGCUAGUAUCAAGAAAAUUGUAGAUACAGUGCUUAUUUGUUGGAGUAUUAGGUUAGAAAGAAAAUCAAAUA